Molecule: non-coding RNA, 98 nt
Organism: Acanthosepion pharaonis
Lineage: Eukaryota; Metazoa; Mollusca; Cephalopoda; Sepiida; Sepiidae
Source: the annotation of a GenBank genome assembly
UUGAAACACUGGUUCCCAUAUGAUCACCAAAGUUAAGCAAUGUUGAGUCUGGUCUGUACCUAGAUGGGUGACUACUUGGGAAUACCAAGUACUGUAGG